Long non-coding RNA from Drosophila albomicans, 752 nucleotides. RefSeq lists it as uncharacterized. The record is from RefSeq and is a predicted model, not a curated record. Lineage: Eukaryota; Metazoa; Arthropoda; Insecta; Diptera; Drosophilidae. The transcript is spliced from 5 exons.
GCUCCCAGAGCUCGUCUGGGAAACAACUAAGAUUUUUGGCUCGAAAUUUUUUUUCUUUAUUUUGUUUUUUUUUUUGCUGAGAAAAAAUGUUUUUUUUUUUGUUCUCUUUUUUGUUAACAAAAUUGUGUGUGUUUAAUCAGAUACUCGAAUUUUAAUUGGUCGAUGAAUAUUUCAACUUGAAAAUGGUUUUCGCACACUUGUAAAUAUACAGAACAAUAAAAUGAUUGUUCAUUGAAAUAAGUGCAUGAUGCAGAUGCAUUAAUUGAUCUGGACGAUACCAAGCCUUAAUUAUUCUAGGGCGCUGCUGAUUACGUCGAUUAAUAUUAAGAAAAAUAUAUAUAUAUAUAUACAUAUAUAUAUACAUAUAUAUAUAGAUGUUUAGGGUAAAAUGUUUCUAUGCAUAUAGAUUAAUGGCAUACAUAAUACAAUAUUAUAUCUAAUGCAUACAUAAUACACAUUUGAAUUGGAUUAGAACAAGCUUUGGUUGGUAUGAAUUCUCGAAUUUUCAUAUCGAUAUUUAGCACUCUGUUGGUUGGUACCACGUCCUCUUAAAAAAGGACGCGAAGUUGGCUUCCAAAAGAGGAACAUGAAUUAAACAAUGAAUCAAAAAAAGUUUUUCAAAAUCGGUACCUCGAUGCAAAAACUUUUCCCCCCUUUGUGAUAAGUAAUUAGCAACGCAGUGUUGGCGAUAUUGAAAAAUAAACAGUAUUAAUAAUCGAAAAAAGAUCGCAAAUAAAAAUAGAGAAUGUAAA